Molecule: ribosomal RNA, 242 nt
Filed under: uncultured bacterium
Lineage: Bacteria
Description: partial 16S ribosomal RNA
Rfam family: Bacterial small subunit ribosomal RNA
Source: RNAcentral
AUGGGCCUACGGGGCGCAGCAGUGAGGAAUAUUGGUCAAUGGCCGAGAGGCUGAACCAGCCACGUCGCGUGAGGGAAGACGGCCCUACGGGUUGUAAACCUCUUUUGUCGGGGAGCAAAGCGAGUCACGUGUGGCUCAUUGAGAGUACCCGAAGAAAAAGCAUCGGCUAACUCCGUGCCAGCAGCCGCGGUAAUCCGGAGGAUGCGAGCGUUAUCCGUAUUUAUUGGGUUUAAAGGGUGCGC